This 82-nucleotide transfer RNA is filed under the name Haliotis rufescens (red abalone). RNAcentral describes it as "tRNA-Leu". It matches the Rfam family "tRNA". From Rfam's summary of the family: Transfer RNA (tRNA) molecules are approximately 80 nucleotides in length. Their secondary structure includes four short double-helical elements and three loops (D, anti-codon, and T loops). Lineage: Eukaryota; Metazoa; Mollusca; Gastropoda; Lepetellida; Haliotidae. The record is from RNAcentral.
GGUAGCGUGGCCGAGUGGUCUAAGGCGCUGGUUUUAGGCACCAGUCUCUCCGGAGGCGUGGGUUCGAUUUCCACCGCUGCCA